GACGAACGCUGGCGGCGUGCUUAACACAUGCAAGUCGAACGGAAAGGCCCUUCGGGGUACUCGAGUGGCGAACGGGUGAGUAACACGUGGGUGAUCUGCCCUGCACUUUGGGAUAAGCCUGGGAAACUGGGUCUAAUACCGAAUAGGACCACGCGCUUCAUGGUGUGUGGUGGAAAGCUUUUGCGGUGUGGGAUGGGCCCGCGGCCUAUCAGCUUGUUGGUGGGGUAAUGGCCUGCCAAGGCGACGACGGGUAGCCGGCCUGAGGGGGUGACCGGCCACAGUGGGAGUGAGGUACGGCCCAGGCCCCCAGGGGGGGGAGGAGGGGGAAAAUUGGCAAAAAGGGCGAAAGCCGGAGAAAGGGGCGCGGGGUGGGGGUGGGAGGCUUUUGGGGUGUAACCCUCUUUAAAGGGGGGCGAGGCGCAAGGGAGGGAACCUAUGAAAAAAGCCCGGGCCAACUAGUG
Molecule: ribosomal RNA, 461 nt
Filed under: uncultured bacterium
Lineage: Bacteria
Description: partial 16S ribosomal RNA
Rfam family: Bacterial small subunit ribosomal RNA
Source: RNAcentral